This 1015-nucleotide ribosomal RNA is filed under the name Modicisalibacter zincidurans. RNAcentral describes it as "bacterial SSU rRNA". It matches the Rfam family "Bacterial small subunit ribosomal RNA", at positions 67 to 1064 of the family's 1533-position model. Lineage: Bacteria; Pseudomonadati; Pseudomonadota; Gammaproteobacteria; Oceanospirillales; Halomonadaceae. The record is from RNAcentral.
CGGUAACGGGUCCAGCUUGCUGGAUGCCGACGAGCGGCGGACGGGUGAGUAAUGCAUAGGAAUCUGCCCAGUCGUGGGGGAUAACCUGGGGAAACCCAGGCUAAUACCGCAUACGUCCUACGGGAGAAAGCGGGGGCUCUUCGGACCUCGCGCGAUUGGAUGAGCCUAUGUCGGAUUAGCUAGUUGGUGAGGUAACGGCUCACCAAGGCGACGAUCCGUAGCUGGUCUGAGAGGAUGAUCAGCCACACCGGGACUGAGACACGGCCCGGACUCCUACGGGAGGCAGCAGUGGGGAAUAUUGGACAAUGGGCGCAAGCCUGAUCCAGCCAUGCCGCGUGUGUGAAGAAGGCUUUCGGGUUGUAAAGCACUUUCAGUGGGGAAGAAAGCGUGCCGGCCAAUACCCGGUACGGACGACAUCACCCACAGAAGAAGCACCGGCUAACUCCGUGCCAGCAGCCGCGGUAAUACGGAGGGUGCGAGCGUUAAUCGGAAUUACUGGGCGUAAAGCGCGCGUAGGCGGCUAAGUAAGCCGGUUGUGAAAGCCCCGGGCUCAACCUGGGAAUGGCAUCCGGAACUGUUUAGCUAGAGUGCAGGAGAGGAAGGUAGAAUUCCCGGUGUAGCGGUGAAAUGCGUAGAGAUCGGGAGGAAUACCAGUGGCGAAGGCGGCCUUCUGGACUGACACUGACGCUGAGGUGCGAAAGCAUGGGUAGCAAACAGGAUUAGAUACCCUGGUAGUCCAUGCGGUAAACGAUGUCGACUAGCCGUUGGGUCCCUUGAGGACUUAUUGGCGCAGUUAACGCGAUAAGUCGACCGCCUGGGGAGUUACCGUCCGCAAGGUUUAAAAACUCAAAUGAAUUGACAGGGGGACCCGCACAAGGCGGUGGAGCAUGUGGUUUAAUUCGAUCCAACGCGAAGGAACCUUAACCUACCCUUGACAUCCUGCGAACCUCCGGAGACGGAGGGGUUCCUCCGGGAGCGCAGAGACAGGUGCUCAUGGCUUUUCGGUCAACCCCGG